Crocodylus porosus (Australian saltwater crocodile) is the source of this 456-nucleotide long non-coding RNA. NCBI's taxonomy places the organism in Eukaryota, Metazoa, Chordata, Crocodylia, Crocodylidae. The record is from Ensembl.
GUCUGAAAGUAAUUUGCUCCUAGUAUCUGUGACUACUUUUGGCUUUUUAUUGUAACAACUUGAACAAGUUGUUUAACUGAAAGUAAAGGAUUUCUCUGUAUUCUGAUCUUCAAAUUUUACUUUCUAGAGUGAUUGGGGUAUAUGAUUGCUUGAAUAUUUUGAAAUAGAAGAAAGCUAGUGAAGAAUGUUUGAAAUGCUCCUGGUAAAAAUGUGGAAAAUGCUAACUUUCUAGUAGACAUUCAGUUUACGUCGUAUUAGCUGAUUGAGGAGGAAAUAUGUUUCUUUAUUGGGAUCCACAGACAUACAUAUAGAUGCCCCCAAGAUCAGAACUGCAAUCCUCUUUUGAAUGACAGUAUCCAUAUAGGGCUCAGGGACUGUUCUCCUGAAAGCCAGCUAGAACAAAGAGGCUUUUCUCCAUCACCUUAAAGAUCUCAGAAAAACACUUUGGAGUACAUA